This 496-nucleotide ribosomal RNA is filed under the name uncultured bacterium. RNAcentral describes it as "partial 16S ribosomal RNA". It matches the Rfam family "Bacterial small subunit ribosomal RNA", at positions 28 to 506 of the family's 1533-position model. The record is from RNAcentral.
GAUGAACGCUGGCGGCGUGCCUAAUACAUGCAAGUCGAGCGAACGGACGAGAAGCUUGCUUCUCUGAUGUUAGCGGCGGACGGGUGAGUAACACGUGGAUAACCUACCUAUAAGACUGGGAUAACUUCGGGAAACCGUAGCUAAUACCGGAUAAUAUUUUGAACCGCAUGGUUCAAAAGUGAAAGACGGUCUUGCUGUCACUUAUAGAUGGAUCCGCGCUGCAUUAGCUAGUUGGUAAGGUAACGGCUUACCAAGGCAACGAUGCAUAGCCGACCUGGGAGGGUGAUCGGCCACACUGGAACUGAGACACGGUCCAGACUCCUACGGGAGGCAGCAGUAGGGAAUCUUCCGCAAUGGGCGAAAGCCUGACGGAGCAACGCCGCGUGAGUGAUGAAGGUCUUCGGAUCGUAAAACUCUGUUAUUAGGGAAGAACAUAUGUGUAAGUAACUGUGCACAUCUGGACGGUACCUAAUCAGAAAGCCACGGCUAACUACGU